This 1008-nucleotide ribosomal RNA is filed under the name Capnocytophaga canis. Its description in RNAcentral is "bacterial SSU rRNA". It matches the Rfam family "Bacterial small subunit ribosomal RNA", at positions 39 to 1053 of the family's 1533-position model. The record is from RNAcentral. Lineage: Bacteria; Pseudomonadati; Bacteroidota; Flavobacteriia; Flavobacteriales; Flavobacteriaceae.
GCGGCAGCUACACAUGCAGUCGAGGGGUAAGGAGAGCUUGCUCUCCCUAGACCGGCGUACGGGUGCGUAACACGUGUACAAUCUACCUUUUACUAAGGGAUAGCCCGAAGAAAUUUGGAUUAAUACCUUAUAGUAUUAUUUUAUGGCAUCAUUAAAUAAUUAAAGCUACGGUGGCAAAAGAUGAGUACGCGUCCCAUUAGCUGGUUGGAGUGGUAACCGCACACCAAGGCUACGAUGGGUAGGGGUUCUGAGAGGGAUGUCCCCCACACUGGUACUGAGACACGGACCAGACUCCUACGGGAGGCAGCAGUGAGGAAUAUUGGACAAUGGUCGGAAGACUGAUCCAGCCAUGCCGCGUGCAGGAUGACGGCCUUAUGGGUUGUAAACUGCUUUUAUACAGGAAGAAUAAGGUCUACGAGUAGAUUGAUGACGGUACAGUAUGAAUAAGCAUCGGCUAACUCCGUGCCAGCAGCCGCGGUAAUACGGAGGAUGCGAGCGUUAUCCGGAAUCAUUGGGUUUAAAGGGUCCGUAGGCGGGCGUAUAAGUCAGAGGUGAAAGCACUGAGCUCAACUGAGUAACUGCCUUUGAAACUGUAUGUCUUGAAUAGUUGUGAAAUAGAUGGAAUGUGUAGUGUAGCGGUGAAAUGCAUAGAUAUUACACAGAACACCGAUUGAGAAGGCAUGUUACUAACGAAAGAUUGACGCUGAGGGACGAAAGCGUGGGGAGCGAACAGGAUUAGAUACCCUGGUAGUCCACGCUGUAAACGACGGAGACUAGCUGUUUGGUAUUCGGACUUUGAGUGGAUAAGCGAAAAUGAUAAGUAUCCCACCUGGGGAGUACGCACGCAAGUGAGAAACUCAAAGGAAUUGACGGGGGCCCGCACAAGCGGUGGAGCAAGUGGUUUAAGGUAGAUGAUACGCGAGGAACCUUACCAAGGUUUAAAUGGGAAGACGACGUACCUAGUAGAUAGAUAGUGCUUCGGACGCUUUCAACGUGCUGCAUGUUGUC